GUGGGGAAUAUUGGGCAAUGGAGGCAACUCUGACCCAGCAAUGCCGCGUGAGCGAUGAAGGUAGUUUUAUUGUAAAGCUCUUUUCUCAGGAACGAACAAAUGACGGUACCUGAGGAAUAAGCCCCGGCUAACUACGUGCCAGCAGCCGCGGUAAUACGUAGGGGGCGAGCGUUGUCCGGAAUGACUGGGCGUAAAGGGUGUGUAGGUGGUUUGAUAAGUUAGAUGUGUAAUACCCAGGGCUUAACUCGGGUGCUGCAUCUAAAACUGUUAGACUUGAGUACUGGAGAGGAUAGUGGAAUUCCUAGUGUAGCGGUGGAAUGCGUAGAUAUUAGGAGGAACAUCAGUGGCGAAGGCGACUAUCUGGACAGCAACUGACACUGAGGCACGAAAGCGUGGGGAGCAAACAGGAUUAGAAACCCUAGUAGUCC
This 428-nucleotide ribosomal RNA is filed under the name uncultured bacterium. RNAcentral's name for it is "bacterial SSU rRNA". It matches the Rfam family "Bacterial small subunit ribosomal RNA", at positions 354 to 796 of the family's 1533-position model. The record is from RNAcentral.